CCUCUCCAGUCAGUCCUCCUGUGAAGACACCCGUGCCACUUCCAAAACAACUGAGGUUCCUUGUGCCAGAAGCGUCAGGCUCCCUGCCAACAGAACCGACUGCCAGAGGACCAGGUGAGCUUUUGCAUUUCAAAACAUUUUUUUAAUGGUUUAAUUUACAAUAUGGUACAUGCAGGACACAUGGCAGGAUCCAAACAUUUGGAUACGGCAGGAUUCUGUCUUAACAAGUACAACCCAGGGUCCAGAUGUCAGACAUGCUUCUCUGUUUUGUUGUAAUUAAUAAAAAUUCCAUGUUUGCAGCGCAACGUUCUUCCCUGGGGACAUCUACAGUGACGAGUCAGCGCCCGCUGCAGCCACCACCUACAAGCAGAGCUGAAAGCCAACCAUUGCCAUCUGCCUCUGGCUGUCCUCCUCCUCAGCUUCCUGGCUAUGACCACGACACACAGCAGUGGAACUGUUCACGCUUUCAGAGGGCCUGGAUGAAGAUGGAGCUGGAAUCACUGGGUCUCUGGCCAGGUUCCCUUCCUGUAAGCAACCCCAUGAAGAUGGUGUCACUGUGGCGUUUCCCACCCCAGCCUGAACUGAUAGACAGCAUAUCACAUUUUCCGUCGCCAUCGUACUUUCAGCUUCACCCGUUUUUCAUAUGGAAGCCGGAGAACGACAUUAUGGCACGGCUGAGGAACACCUACGCCUUGCCUUGUGUUAAAGGUUGUCUUCAGCCUCAGGUUACCUCUGCAGGUGUUGGCAGACCUCGUGUCAUUGUGGGACUCACUGGACAGUACUACCUGUUUUCAUCCAGGCUGUGCUGCAAAGUCUGCAAGAGAAGAUGGUUUGCGGACAAUCCACAGUGGCUGGAAAAGCUUCCAAAGAGGUUUACAAAUGUGUUGCCAGCAACGCUGACCUACAAGAAGGCCAUUUGUAAAUCAGUCAUGGACGAACUAAGACGCACUGGGAACUCCCCCACAGACAUAACAAAUCAAGUAAUGGAGGUAAUGCACCUUAAGUAUGAACGUGCCAACCUGGCUUACCUACUCAGCUGCCAGAACAUUAUGGAUGGUGAGUCUGGAAAGUACGGGCAACAAACCAUCACACAGUUCAUACGAAAGGAAACGAAACCAGCUCCUUUCGGCGAAUAUGGUGAUUCGGACGGCUGGAACGGGAUUUCUGUUUCGUCACACUACCUGAUUGACUGUCUACUGAGCGAGUACCAGCACCAGGAAGGAGCCAUCAACAAACUGCUGCAAGGCACUUUUGGACAUGCUUUCCGCUCAGACCACACCCGCAAGGUUGCACGCAAGGUCACCUUUUCAUCUGGAGCCAUGUCAUCAUAUGCAGUGAUGAAUGAACACUGGAUGAUCGUUUCAUGGGUGAUGGUACAGUCGGAGACAGAAAAGUCACUGAGGCCCAUGUACGAAGGACUGUCUAACCGGUACGACACUGCGGGCAUAGAGAAGGCCCGGUACCACUGGGUAGACAGGUAAGAAACCAUCAUCGUGACGCCACUGUGUACUGUUGCUUAAAAUGUCCAGUGAGAGAUACGGCUGCUUUAAUUGAUGUGUGUGUGUGUGUAUUUCUGUCAUCUUUCAGAGAUUGCUGUGCAGCCUUUAAGGUGGCCGAGUGUGCACAGGGAGAGCACCUACAGUGGGAAGCUUGGCAGACGUCUGAUGUGAUAACUGCUCAGGCCACUUCUGGGACUUUGCUGAAUGUCUGUGCAUCAAGGGCCUAUUACAACACGGCCAUAACCAUCAAACUGGAUCUGUUCCACUGCAUGCGCCGGUUCCUCCGUGAGUGCGUCUCAGAGCAUCAUCCCCUGUACAGUUCCUUUGCCCAGUUCCUGUCUGCAGCCUUCUCUGUGGUGGAUCAGGAAGACCUGCAGAGGCUGAAGGAUGCCUACACGUUUUGUGGCAUUCAACCUGCUAAUCCCACUAAACAGCACAUUCGUGAACACUGCAGGACCAAGAUUCCAGGGCCGGAUGAGUUAAUUCAGAGAGUGGAGGCGGUUUUGAAACACUUCUACCUCGCUGAAGAUCCAAAUGGGACUCGUCUGUUUAAGCCCUCUAUGUUAAAGGUGUGGCGGAUCCAGCGUGUGCACAUCCUGCGAGGUUGUCUGAGUGACCCAGAGGUGGAAGGUGGGAUCCUGUACAGACAUGGAGGAACGCUGCAGUUGAACCAUGUGAAGGGCGAAGGUGCCAAAGUUCCUGUUUGGAUCCCCAUCAGAGGCACAUCUCAGCAGGAGGGUUACCACUUCCACCAGGCUCAGUGGGUCACAGGAACAUGCGUUUCUCCAGAGCUGUUUCAGGCUCAAGGAAUGACUGGGGUGGCUCGAUGGAACUACCAGCGGCUUGUGGACUUGAAACAGCCAGGGGUUUCCCUCCCAGCUGCCUUUGACCCAGCUUUGAUUGCAGACCUCAAUGCAGCGUCUGGACGUGUGUUUGGGACUGUGAAGUAUCCUGCUCUUCAUCUGUGUGGCAAAGACACUGGGGAGAAGUUUGGCCUGGAGUACGUGGAGCCUGGUACCCGUCCUGUUCCUCUGCAGUGGGAUAAGCACAGGACCAAGACGGACUCAACACCUGCCCCAAGUCCACCUCCUCGGAGCAGUUCACCUGUGGCCCAGGCUGAAGCUCUACAAGGACCCCCCACCGCUUCACCAAAGCUGUUUUGUUUUUCACCACGUCCUCCGGUGGAACCUGCAGAUGAGACUCCAGCACCAGCAUGUGGGCCUGUCAAAGUUCAAGGUAAAAAAACAACACACAAUAGUGAUAAACAGAUAAUAUGUAUAUUUCAUUGCCGGGAACUGUGUUGUCACCUAUAUUGUAUACUAUAUACACAGGGGGUGAGGGACCCAAACGCGCAGCAGACAGUUCUCUAUUUGUGGUGGUUUAAUGCAGAUGCUUGGUCAGUACAGACAGGAAAUAGGCAAGACACGGUCAAAACAUGAUCCAGGACUGGUACACAAAGGGACUUACAAGGCAGAAACGCUGGAGAGUUGAUACCGGUAGGGUGAGCAGACAAUCUGGCAGGGAACUUGAGUGGAACAAGAGCUUAAGUACCAGGUUGAUUACAGAUUGGCUGCAGCUGAUGGCUCAUGUGAUAGAAUAAGUGAAACCAGGACCAAGACAGACAAGGACAAAACAGGAAGUGCCAAAAUAAGACCAGAAACUAAGCACCUAAAUAACACAAAAAGGCAAAAAAGUCCAUAGUCAUGACACAUAUGAGGGAAUAAAUAAGAAUAUAUGAAUGUUUAUCUGGGCCA
RNAcentral lists this long non-coding RNA (3253 nucleotides) under Betta splendens (Siamese fighting fish). RNAcentral's name for it is "lncRNA (ENSBSLG00000024983.1)". Lineage: Eukaryota; Metazoa; Chordata; Actinopteri; Anabantiformes; Osphronemidae. The record is from RNAcentral.